GAUGAACGCUGGCGGCGUGCCUAAUACAUGCAAGUCGAGCGAACGGACGAGAAGCUUGCUUCUCUGAUGUUAGCGGCGGACGGGUGAGUAACACGUGGAUAACCUACCUAUAAGACUGGGAUAACUUCGUGAAACCGUAGCUAAUACCGGAUAAUAUUUUGAACCGCAUGGUUCAAAAGUGAAAGACGGUCUUGCUGUCACUUAUAGAUGGAUCCGCGCUGCAUUAGCUAGUUGGUAAUGUAACGGCUUACAAAGGCAACGAUGCAUAGCCGACCUGAGAGGGUGGUCGGCCACACUGGAACUGAGACACGGCCCAGACUCCUACGGGAGGCAGCAGUAGGGAAUCUUCCGCGAUGGGCGAAAGCCUGACGGAGCAACGCCGCGUGAGUGAUGAAGGUCUUCGGAUCGUAAAACUCUGUUAUUAGGGAAGAACAUAUGUGUAAGUAACUGUGCACAUCUUGACGGUACCUAAUCAGAAAGCCCCGGCUAACUACGUG
This 497-nucleotide ribosomal RNA is filed under the name uncultured bacterium. Its description in RNAcentral is "partial 16S ribosomal RNA". It matches the Rfam family "Bacterial small subunit ribosomal RNA", at positions 28 to 507 of the family's 1533-position model. The record is from RNAcentral.